RNAcentral lists this ribosomal RNA (826 nucleotides) under uncultured bacterium. RNAcentral's name for it is "bacterial SSU rRNA". It matches the Rfam family "Bacterial small subunit ribosomal RNA", at positions 52 to 907 of the family's 1533-position model. The record is from RNAcentral.
CACAUGCAAGUCGAGCGAUUUACUUCGGUAAAGAGCGGCGGACGGGUGAGUAACGCGUGGGUAACCUGCCCUGUACACACGGAUAACAUACCGAAAGGUAUGCUAAUACGAGAUAAUAUGCUUUUGUCGCAUGGUAGAAGUAUCAAAGCUCCGGCGGUACAGGAUGGACCCGCGUCUGAUUAGCUAGUUGGUAAGGUAACGGCUUACCAAGGCGACGAUCAGUAGCCGACCUGAGAGGGUGAUCGGCCACAUUGGAACUGAGACACGGUCCAAACUCCUACGGGAGGCAGCAGUGGGGAAUAUUGCACAAUGGGCGAAAGCCUGAUGCAGCAACGCCGCGUGAGCGAUGAAGGCCUUCGGGUCGUAAAGCUCUGUCCUCAAGGAAGAUAAUGACGGUACUUGAGGAGGAAGCCCCGGCUAACUACGUGCCAGCAGCCGCGGUAAUACGUAGGGGGCUAGCGUUAUCCGGAAUUACUGGGCGUAAAGGGUGCGUAGGUGGUUUCUUAAGUCAGAGGUGAAAGGCUACGGCUCAACCGUAGUAAGCCUUUGAAACUGGGAAACUUGAGUGCAGGAGAGGAGAGUGGAAUUCCUAGUGUAGCGGUGAAAUGCGUAGAUAUUAGGAGGAACACCAGUUGCGAAGGCGGCUCUCUGGACUGUAACUGACACUGAGGCACGAAAGCGUGGGGAGCAAACAGGAUUAGAUACCCUGGUAGUCCACGCCGUAAACGAUGAGUACUAGCUGUCGGAGGUUACCCCCUUCGGUGGCGCAGCUAACGCAUUAAGUACUCCGCCUGGGAAGUACGCUCGCAAGAGUGAAACUCAAAGG